Molecule: transfer RNA, 75 nt
Filed under: Arcobacter sp.
Lineage: Bacteria; Pseudomonadati; Campylobacterota; Epsilonproteobacteria; Campylobacterales; Arcobacteraceae
Description: tRNA-Val
Rfam family: tRNA
About the family: Transfer RNA (tRNA) molecules are approximately 80 nucleotides in length. Their secondary structure includes four short double-helical elements and three loops (D, anti-codon, and T loops).
Source: RNAcentral
GUUUGAUUAGCUCAGGGGUAGAGCACUACGUUGACAUCGUAGGGGUCACUGGUUCAAAUCCAGUAUCGAACACCA